GGGGUGGGGGCGGGGUGCAGUCUGAGACAUGGGUUGAUGCUGUGAAAGGGUUUUCAUCAUGGGAAAAGUUGGGAAGUUUGCUUUACUCUUUUCUGGGAGCAUGUCUGAGAGGAAAGACCUGGGUUGAAGGAGCAGUGGCUGCAGGAGGCGUGCUCUUCUCAGGCUGCAAGGCUGAAGCCGAGGAGGCCAAGUCAUCCAAGCAAGCACAUUUGAGACCUCUGCCUGGAUGUGGACGAGCGACAUUCCAUCGCUUCAGGUCUGGAGCCGCAGGACAGCUUAGUCAGCCCCAGUCCAACCCUGCCUCCUGCCUUGCCACAUGCCCAUCUCAGGAGACUGCUCCCCGCCACCCCGCCAACUCGAAAAACAUUCAUUUCCCCCAAUUCAAAUAUUUUCACCCUCUAGAAGACUUGUUAAUAUUGUAUCUUCAGGAGC
This is a long non-coding RNA of Bos taurus (domestic cattle), 432 nucleotides long. NCBI's taxonomy places the organism in Eukaryota, Metazoa, Chordata, Mammalia, Artiodactyla, Bovidae. The record is from Ensembl.